GUGCAGCAGUCGCGAAACUUCACACUGUGCGAAAGCACGAUGAGGGAAUCCCAAGUGCUUGCACGUAAGUGUAAGCUGUUUCUCUGUCUAAAACGCAGAGAGAGUAAGGGCUGGGUAAGACGGGUGCCAGCCGCCGCGGUAAUACCUGCAGCUCAAGUGGUGACCGUUAUUAUUGGGCCUAAAACGUCCGUAGCCGGUUUAAUAAAUGCCUGGGUAAAUUGUGUAGCUUAACUAUACGAAUUCCGGGUAGACUGUUAAACUUGAGACCGGGAGAAGUUAGAGGUACUCCUGGGGUAGAGGUGAAAAUUCUGUAAUCCUAGGGGGACCACCAGUGGCGAAGGCGUCUAACUAGAACGGGUCUGACGGUGAGGGACGAAGCCCUGGGGCGCAAACGGGAUUAGAUACCCCGUAGU
Molecule: ribosomal RNA, 413 nt
Filed under: uncultured microorganism
Description: bacterial SSU rRNA
Rfam family: Archaeal small subunit ribosomal RNA
Source: RNAcentral